Molecule: ribosomal RNA, 510 nt
Filed under: uncultured bacterium
Lineage: Bacteria
Description: partial 16S ribosomal RNA
Rfam family: Bacterial small subunit ribosomal RNA
Source: RNAcentral
GACGAACGCUGGCGGCGUGCUUAACACAUGCAAGUCGAACGAAGAGCGAUGGAAGCUUGCUUCUCUCAAUCUUAGUGGCGAACGGGUGAGUAACGCGUAAUCAACCUGCCCUUCAGAGGGGGACAACAGUUGGAAACGACUGCUAAUACCGCAUACGAUCUAAUCUCGGCAUCGAGGAUAGAUGAAAGGUGGCCUCUACAUGUAAGCUAUCACUGAAGGAGGGGAUUGCGUCUGAUUAGCUAGUUGGAGGGGUAACGGCCCACCAAGGCGAUGAUCAGUAGCCGGUCUGAGAGGAUGAACGGCCACAUUGGGACUGAGACACGGCCCAGACUCCUACGGGAGGCAGCAGUGGGGAAUCUUCCGCAAUGGACGAAAGUCUGACGGAGCAACGCCGCGUGAGUGAUGACGGCCUUCGGGUUGUAAAGUUCGGUUAAUCGGGACGAAAGGCCUUCUUGCGAAUAGUGAGAAGGAUUGACGGUACCGGAAUAGAAAGCCACGGCUAACUACGUG